AACGAACGCUGGCGGCAGGCCUAACACAUGCAAGUCGAGCGAGGACUUCGGUUCUAGCGGCGGACGGGUGAGUAACGCGUGGGAAUGUGCCCUUCUCUACGGAAUAGCCCUGGGAAACUGGGAGUAAUACCGUAUACGCCCUAUUGGGGAAAGAUUUAUCGGAGAAGGAUCAGCCCGCGUUGGAUUAGGUAGUUGGUGGGGUAAUGGCCUACCAAGCCGACGAUCCAUAGCUGGUUUGAGAGGAUGAUCAGCCACACUGGGACUGAGACACGGCCCAGACUCCUACGGGAGGCAGCAGUGGGGAAUCUUAGACAAUGGGGGCAACCCUGAUCUAGCCAUGCCGCGUGAGUGAUGAAGGCCUUAGGGUUGUAAAGCGCUUUCAGCUGGGAAGAUAAUGACGGUACCAGCAGAAGAAGCCCCGGCUAACUCCGUG
Molecule: ribosomal RNA, 433 nt
Filed under: uncultured bacterium
Lineage: Bacteria
Description: partial 16S ribosomal RNA
Rfam family: Bacterial small subunit ribosomal RNA
Source: RNAcentral